Molecule: ribosomal RNA, 594 nt
Filed under: Plasmopara epilobii
Lineage: Eukaryota; Oomycota; Peronosporomycetes; Peronosporales; Peronosporaceae
Description: LSU rRNA
Rfam family: Eukaryotic large subunit ribosomal RNA
Source: RNAcentral
CGGCGAGUGAAGCGGGAUGAGCUCCAAGCUUUAAAAUCUCCGGUGCAAUUUUUGCACGGCGAAUUGUAGUCUAUAGAGGCGUGAUCAGUAUGGGGCACUUGGGGGUAAGUUCCUUGGAAUAGGACAGCAUGGAGGGUGAUACUCCCGUUCGUCCNUAAGUUGCUCGUGCGUACGAUCCGUUUUCUUUGAGUCGCGUUGUUUGAGAAUGCAGCGCAAAGUAGGUGGUAAAUUCCAUCUAAAGCUAAAUAUUGGUGCGAGACCGAUAGCAUACAAGUACCGUGAGGGAAAGAUGAAAAGAACUUUGAAAAUAGAGUUAAAGAGUACCUGAAACUGCUGAAAGGGAACCAAAUCGUUUCCAGUGUCUAUAAUCCGUAGUAUAUUUCAUCGGCGAGCGUGUGCGUGCAUGUGCUUUUGCAGUGGCCUUUUGGCUACGCAAGGUGUUUGUGCUGUGUGUGCUUGCUGGUGCCCUGUGCUGCGGUGGGACGUCAAGGUCAGUUCGUAUGCUGCGGGAAAUGGCUACCGAGGAGGUAGGGCUUACGCUUGCGUUUGUCUGUUAUAUCUUGGUAGACGAGUAGUCGCGGUUGGGACUGAGGU